AACGAACGCUGGCGGCAGGCCUAACACAUGCAAGUCGAGCGAGGACUUCGGUCCUAGCGGCGGACGGGUGAGUAACGCGUGGGAACGUGCCCUUUGCUUCGGAAUAGCCCUGGGAAACUGGGAGUAAUACCGGAUGAGCCCUUUGGGGGAAAGAUUUAUCGGCGAAGGAUCGGCCCGCGUUGGAUUAGGUAGUUGGUGGGGUAAUGGCCUACCAAGCCGACGAUCCAUAGCUGGUUUGAGAGGAUGAUCAGCCACACUGGGACUGAGACACGGCCCAGACUCCUACGGGAGGCAGCAGUGGGGAAUCUUAGACAAUGGGGGAAACCCUGAGCGAGCCAUGCCGCGUGAGCGAUGAAGGCCUUAGGGUUGUAAAGCUCUUUCAGCUGGGAAGAUAAUGACGGUACCAGCAGAAGAAGCCCCGGCUAACUCCGUG
Molecule: ribosomal RNA, 433 nt
Filed under: uncultured bacterium
Lineage: Bacteria
Description: partial 16S ribosomal RNA
Rfam family: Bacterial small subunit ribosomal RNA
Source: RNAcentral